RNAcentral lists this ribosomal RNA (483 nucleotides) under uncultured bacterium. RNAcentral's name for it is "partial 16S ribosomal RNA". It matches the Rfam family "Bacterial small subunit ribosomal RNA", at positions 28 to 507 of the family's 1533-position model. The record is from RNAcentral.
GACGAACGCUGGCGGCGUGCUUAACACAUGCAAGUCGAACGCUGAAGCUCAGCUUUUGUUGGGUGGAUGAGUGGCGAACGGGUGAGUAACACGUGAGUAACCUGCCCCCUUCUUUGGGGUAACGCCCGGAAACGGGUGCUAAUACUGGAUAUUCACUGGUCUUCGCAUGGGGGUUGGUGGAAAGGGUUUUUCUGGUGGGGGAUGGGCUCGCGGCCUAUCAGCUUGUUGGUGGGGUGAUGGCCUACCAAGGCUUUGACGGGUAGCCGGCCUGAGAGGGUGACCGGUCACAUUGGGACUGAGAUACGGCCCAGACUCCUACGGGAGGCAGCAGUGGGGAAGAUUGCACAAUGGGCGCAAGCCUGAUGCAGCGACGCCGCGUGAGGGAUGGAGGCCUUCGGGUUGUGAACCUCUUUCGCUCAUGGUCAGGCCGCAACAAUGGUUGUGGUGAGGGUAGUGGGUAAAGAAGCGCCGGCUAACUACGUG